This is a small nucleolar RNA of Eptesicus fuscus (big brown bat), 131 nucleotides long. RefSeq annotates it as small nucleolar RNA SNORA48. The transcript has a single exon. The record is from RefSeq and is a predicted model, not a curated record. NCBI's taxonomy places the organism in Eukaryota, Metazoa, Chordata, Mammalia, Chiroptera, Vespertilionidae.
ACCCCUUGGCAAUGGGCAAGGAGGCACAUGAUUGGUGGGUGUUGCUCUUAUAUCAGUCAGGGACAAAGUUAGUUCAUCCUAGCUCGAUGCCUGUGUUGGUGGCCAGAGCUAUUCAUGCCUGGGGCACAUAA